This is a long non-coding RNA of Helianthus annuus (common sunflower), 1722 nucleotides long. RefSeq lists it as uncharacterized. The transcript has 4 exons. Lineage: Eukaryota; Viridiplantae; Streptophyta; Magnoliopsida; Asterales; Asteraceae. The record is from RefSeq and is a predicted model, not a curated record.
UACGUGACCAUCCAGUCAUCCACCCUCCACGUGCAAUUGGAGCCCUAAUCCAUCACCUGCUACGAUAAGUUCAACUUCAUCGCUUAUCCAUUUUUGAGAAAAUUUUGAUAAUAUGCAAUAUCCACUGUUCAUCAACAUCGGUUGAAGCUCGUCUUGGUUUGACCUGUGCAAAGUGUUGCAGCUGCUCAAACUUCAAAACUGCUUUAAGACCACCCGUAGGGGGGGGGGGGGGUUUGCAUUUUUCUCAAAAAAACGGCCAAACAGGCCUUGGGACCGCCCCCGGGAGCAUUUUUCUUGAAAAAAUGGGUGGGGCGUCCUAUUUUAAACGCCUGCACUUGAUUUUUUGGCCAAUAAGACCGCUGCCAACACCUGCCCUUGAUGUUUUGGCCAAUAGUUUUAAUUUGAAAAAAAAAUAAUAAUUGGGUAUUGAUUGGUUGGGGCAUUAUGGGGCAUUAUACCACUAGAACCAUUUUAAGAUAAUGCCCCAUAAUGCCCACAUGCUGACUGGACCACCACAUGGCACAAAACGACAAAGGGUAGGGACAUUAUCUUCCCCUCCCACUACACAUGUUCUUAGUUCAAUACUCAUUUAAUUUAAUGACUGAAUCCAACUGUACCAUAUGAGGCAGUGCGUACAACCUUUUUUUAUGAUUUUUAUAUUAUGUUACUAUGGUUGACUUUUGACUUUUUUGACCCUGGUUUCCUGUUUAUCUAAGUUAUUAUCAACAUGGUCUUGUAUGCUUGCAGGGUGUGCCAAGUUACUUUGGUAGCUGCUGUUUUAAAUUUCAAGGUUUGUGAUGUGACUAAGUGAUGCAGAUGUGAUUUGUUUUGUCCUGAGGGUUCGAACCUUAGUAACAUCGCCACGAGAAUACUGUAUUGGUAACAAGAUCAUUUGGUACAUGUACAUUAUUAUCACUCUUUGCGUAUCGUUUUAUGAAAGCCUAACAAUUUUUAUUAGCAACAAAAACCCUGGGUAGCCGGGAUCACCCAGCACACCUGCCUAGAGGAAACCCACAAUCUCCAAAAACUACAACAGUACAACUACAAACAUCUAGUUGGUUUUGCUACUGUUUCAUUGAUGGACAAGAGAGUCGAAGCCAUGUGAGAGUUCGAACCCACCACCAGCCAACUGUUGAAACUCCCGCUCGCUAUUGUCCCUUUUGUGCCUGAAGAUGUUGUUGUCUUUGUUGUUGGUGCCCUCUCCGGUGCUACUGCCAAAAUAAUUAUUGCCCAUCUUGACCGGAUUAAACUCACCUUGCAGGGAUUAUGCUUUUGCAAUGUUAUAAGAGGUUGGUUGUUGUUAUGGCUGGUGAGUUAAAUAUGUUGGGGGAGGGGUAUGAUUAUUGGCAUGAAGUUGCUGCUUAGAAUGAAUAUUUAAGCAUGGGUUCGGUUUGGCUUGGUUUGGUUUUAGUUUCCAACGGUUCAGUUUCGGAAUCAACCCGUAAACACCCCUAGUGGGUAUGGUUAGUUGUAUUUUGUUAUAGGUUGGAUGUGCUAAAAGGUUGCUGAUUGGGGCUACUAUGGGGGAAUAGAGGUCAAGACUACUAGGAAGUUUGAAGAGAAGAUUUAUAUCUUAUAAGUUUGGUUAAUUUUUUUUAUUAUUGUUUGUUUCUCUGUUUGGGUGCUUUUAAGAGGUUAAUGAUUCCAGUUCUACCCCUCUUGUAAGGUAAAAAGAAUGUAGCAUAUCGUCCAAUUUUUUAUGAAUGGGUCGUUUGGGUUGUA